AACGAACGCUGGCGGCAUGCCUAACACAUGCAAGUCGAACGAAGCCUUCGGGCUUAGUGGCGCACGGGUGCGUAACACGUGGGAAUCUGCCCUUUGGUUCGGAAUAACAGUUGGAAACGACUGCUAAUACCGGAUGAUGACGAAAGUCCAAAGAUUUAUCGCCAGAGGAUGAGCCCGCGUAGGAUUAGCUAGUUGGUGUGGUAAAGGCGCACCAAGGCGACGAUCCUUAGCUGGUCUGAGAGGAUGAUCAGCCACACUGGGACUGAGACACGGCCCAGACUCCUACGGGAGGCAGUAGUGGGGAAUAUUGGACAAUGGCCGAAAGCCUGAUCCAGCAAUGCCGCGUGAGUGAUGAAGGCCCUAGGGUUGUAAAGCUCUUUUACCCGGGAUGAUAAUGACAGUACCGGGAGAAUAAGCCCCGGCUAACUCCGUGCCAGCCGCCGCCGUAA
Molecule: ribosomal RNA, 449 nt
Filed under: uncultured bacterium
Lineage: Bacteria
Description: partial 16S ribosomal RNA
Rfam family: Bacterial small subunit ribosomal RNA
Source: RNAcentral